RNAcentral lists this ribosomal RNA (483 nucleotides) under uncultured bacterium. RNAcentral's name for it is "partial 16S ribosomal RNA". It matches the Rfam family "Bacterial small subunit ribosomal RNA", at positions 29 to 506 of the family's 1533-position model. The record is from RNAcentral.
AUUGAACGCUGGCGGAAUGCUUUACACAUGCAAGUCGAGCGGCAGCACGGGGGUAACCCUGGUGGCGAGCGGCGAACGGGUGAGUAAUACAUCGGAACAUGCCCAGUCGUGGGGGAUAACACUUCGAAAGAAGUGCUAAUACCGCAUACGUCCUGAGGGAGAAAGCGGGGGAUCGCAAGACCUCGCGCGAUUGGAGUGGCCGAUGUCAGAUUAGCUAGUUGGUGGGGUAAAGGCCUACCAAGGCAACGAUCUGUAGCUGGUCUGAGAGGAUGAUCAGCCACCAUGGGAAUGAGAGACGCCCCAGGCUCCGACGGGAGGCAGCAAGGGGGAAUUUUGGACAAUGGGGGCAACCCUGAAACAGCCAUUCCGCGGGGAUGAAGAAGGCCUGCGGGUUGUAAAGCUCUUUCGGCAGGAACGAAACGGUGAGCUCUAACAUAGCUUGCUAAUGACGGUACCUGAAGAAGAAGCACCGGCUAACUACGU